Bos taurus (domestic cattle) is the source of this 3518-nucleotide long non-coding RNA. The record is from Ensembl. NCBI's taxonomy places the organism in Eukaryota, Metazoa, Chordata, Mammalia, Artiodactyla, Bovidae.
AAAGGGAUCACGAGUCCCCUCGGAUCGUGCUGGACAUCCUGUGGGUGGCUUGGCAGCGCACUAUUCCGUUAUUGCAAGAUAAUGAAUAUUGUUUCCUGUGCUAUACAGCAGAUCUUUUUUGGGGGGGGGCAUCUUCCACGUGGCAUGUGGUAUCUUAGUUCCCAGACCAGGGAUCAAACCCACGUCACCUGCAUUGGAAGCUCAGAGUGUUAACCACUGGACAACCAGGGAAGUCCCAGUAAAUCCUUCUUCUUUAUCUGUUUUCUAUAUGGUAGUGUGUAUCUGUGAAUCCCAUACUCCUAAUUUAUCCCUCCUCCACCAUCCAUCCAGCAUCCACCAAAGAAUUGAUGCUUUUGAACUGUGGUGUUAGAGAAGACACUUGAGAGUCCCUUGGACAACAAGAAGAUCAAACCAAUCAAUCCUAAAAGAAAUCAGUCCCAUAUAUUCAUUGGAGGGACUGAUGCUGAAGCUGAAGCUCCAACACUUUGGCCACCUGAUGCGAAGAGCCAACUCACUGGAAAAGACGCUGAUGCUGGGAGAAAGAUCGAAGGCAGAAGGAGAAAGAAGGGGGAGACAGAGGAUGAGAUGGUUGGAUGGCAUCACUGACUCAAUGCGCAUGAAUGUGAGCAAGCUCUGGGAGAUGGUGAAGGACCUGGAAGCCUGGUGUGCUGCAGUCCAUGGAGUUGCAAGGAAUCGGACACAACUUAGCAACUGAACACCACCACCAUCCGUGAGUCUUUGAAGACGAACUUCUUAAAAGCUGAGUGUGCUCUACUUUUCUUCCUACGCUGUCUGCCCCGCCUGCGCACCCCUCUUAUUUCCUUAACUUCUCCCUGCUUCCUCCCUCCCCAAACCCACAAUCUAAGUUCUAAACCUCCAUUUCUUGUCUGAGCUUCCACUUCUUGAGGACUUUGUCGCUGUCCCAGUUUAGCAUCUUCUACUGCUGCACAGCGUCUCGUGUCACGGUGGAUCCCUGCUGAGACAGACACCUUCAGAGUGUGGGCAGGGUAACUGUUUUAAAACGUGAUACUCUGCAUUUCCCUCCUCUGGGAAACAGGAAAUGAAUACCUGAAAAUUUGGCAAGAAGAGAGAGUGCAGAGAGAAGGAAAUGUGCAGGUCCUUUGAACCCCUAUAAAAGGAGAAGUUACAUCUACAUAUUAUGAUAGUUAGCAGCAUCUCUAGCCUCUACCUUGGAGUCCUUUGACCUGUACUCUUGAGAGUCUGUUGGACAGCUAGGAGAUCAAACCAGUCCACCCUAAAGGAAGUCAACCCUGAACAUUCACUGGAAGGACUGAAGCGGAAGCUGAAGCUCUGAUCCUUUGGCUACCUGAUGCGAAGAGCUGACAUAUUGGAAAAGACCCUGAUGUUGGGAACGACUAAAGGCAAGAGAAGAAGCGGGGUGACAGAGAAUGAGAUGGUUGGAUGGCAUCACCGACUCAAUGGACAUGAGUCUGAGUAGACUCAGGGAAGGAGUGAUGGACAGGGAGGCCUAGCGUGCUGCAGUCCACGGGGUCACAAAGCAUCAGGCAUGACUGAGCGACUGAACAGCAACUGGUUUCUACUUGCUUGAUGCCAAUUCUCAUCAACUCUUGGGUAAAAUGGGCUUUGGAAACUAGAGAUUUGGAAUUUCCCUCAGGCUUGGAAGCAUUAUAUGCCAAGGAGGUGUGGGGAGGCACCAGCAGCAUCUGCUACAGUUAACCCCUAUAGCACUCAGAUGGGCUUCCCAGGUAGCACUAGCAGUAAAGGAUCUGCUUGGCAGAGCAGGAGACACGAAAAACAAGGGUUCGAUCCCUCGAUCGGGAAGGUCCCCUGGAGAAGGAAGUGGCAACCCACUCCAGUAUUUUUGCCUGAAAAACUCCAUGGACGGAGGAGCCUGGCAGGGUACAGUCCAUGGGGUUGUGAAGAGUCAGACAUGACUGAGCACACACACAGCACUCAGAACCAUUUCUGUCCUACAUUAACUCACUUCAUGCUGUACUGGUUCUUCCAGGUGAUGGCUGCUCACGAUUGAAAAAGAAUUUAAAAAAUCAUCAUGAGAGAGAGGUUAGGGGGACAGCUAUAUUUCCUGUUUCUUAAGAUGGUCUUAAGGCCAUAUUAGACAUUCAUCUUCUCCCUCCUCUUCCACCCAUUUGAGAUUCUCCUCACUCUUGGUGAGCAAUUUUUUUCUUUUUGGCCACAACAUGUGACCUGCGGAACUUCCAUGACUGGGGAUGGAAUCUGUUCCCCCUGCAAUAGAAGGACAGGAAUUGUAGCCUCCAGAGUUAUUUUAACUCGACCACCAGGGCAGCCCUCAUCUAGCACUUCUGGUCUGAACUGCUCACCUGGGGGGGUGACCCAGACUGUACCCCCAUAACUGGGGCCUUACCAGGCUGUCAUGGUAAUUAUCCACUCCCAGUCAUGACUUGACAUGAAAGCAUGAAGACACGCCCCAGGGAAUUCCCUGUGUUCUGCAAACACUCCUUCUUACCUCAUUAUGUAGACGUGACUGUAUCUCCUCAGAAUAAUUGGAGAUGAAUUACUCUGGCCUACAGCACUUCCCUUUUCUGUCUUCUGGUUUAUUGGCACGUUGCUUAGUUGCCAAGCUGUAUCCGACUCUUUUGAAACCCCACGGACUGUAGCCCACCAGGCUCCUCUGUCCAUGGGAUUCCCCAGGCGAGAAUACUGUAGUGCGUUGCCAUUUCCUUCUCCAGGGGAUCUUCCCAACUCAGGGACUGAACCCAAGUCUCCUGCAUCACAGGUGGACUUUAUUGCUGAGCCACCAGGGAAGCCCCUAUUGGCAUGAGGAGCUCAGAAUAACCAGGUUUUAGCCACACAGUGGAGUUCUAUAUCCUUUUGCAGAACACCUCCUUAUCCCCCAUCAGGAGAUUGAGACUUCUAGUCCAGCCAAACCUGAAGCGCAGAUUCCUCAGGGAGACCCUGGGAGUGGUGAUGAGAGAUGCCACUAGACAUCCAUCCCUUGGUUCCCAGAACUUUGGGGAUUCUACCAAUUGGAAUCCAGCACCCCCAUCCCUCAGGAUUCGCCUACCAACGGGUGCCUUCGUUGUGCCAUUUCAGGCCAUCACAAUGUUUAAUCAAACUGGUAACUUUCAGGUGAUGUUCUACACAGCAGGAUCACUGGAUCCCAUUAUCACAUGCCCAUUUUGACAUAAAAUGGAGCCCUUGGUUUGCGGCAUGUAUCACGAUUCAAUCAGAGAAGCAGAGCCAUUGUGAGUGACAUAGUGACCUAGGUAUUCUUUUUUUGCCAUGUUAUGUGGCAUUUGGGACCAUAGUUCCCCGCCCAUGGAUCAAACUCAUACCCCCAGCAUGGAAGCGCAGUCUUAACUGCUGGACUGCCAGGGAAGUCCCUCAAAAGUUUUUUUUAUAAAAUUUCAUAAUCAUCUCUUUCCAUAGGUAAAAUGCCAGAGUAUUCAAAGCAUUGUGUAGCAACAAAACAUUUUUAGUAAUGUCCCAUGCACUAUUUGAAACACACUUAUACUAAACAAUUAUUCACUGUUUAUGAAUUAUUCAUUAUUCACUGA